GACGAACGCUGGCGGCGUGCUUAACACAUGCAAGUCGAACGGUAAGGCCUUUCGGGGUCCACGAGUGGCGAACGGGUGAGUAACACGUGGGUGAUCUGCCCUGCACUUCGGGAUAAGCCCGGGAAACUGGGUCUAAUACCGGAUAGGACUGCGCGGUGCAUGCCGUGUGGUGGAAAGAUUUAUCGGUGCAGGAUGGGCCCGCGGCCUAUCAGCUUGUUGGUGGGGUAAUGGCCUACCAAGGCGACGACGGGUAGCCGGCCUGAGAGGGCGACCGGCCACACGGGGACUGAGACACGGCCCAGACCCCUACGGGAGGCAGGAGUGGGGAAUAUUGCACAAUGGGCGCAAGCCUGAUGCAGCGACGCCGGGGGGGGGAUGACGGCCUUCGGGUUGUAAACCUCUUUCAGCAGGGACGAAGGGGGAGGGACGGUACCUGCAGAAGAAGCACCGGCCAACUACGU
This 461-nucleotide ribosomal RNA is filed under the name uncultured bacterium. RNAcentral describes it as "partial 16S ribosomal RNA". It matches the Rfam family "Bacterial small subunit ribosomal RNA", at positions 28 to 506 of the family's 1533-position model. The record is from RNAcentral.